This 399-nucleotide ribosomal RNA is filed under the name uncultured bacterium. RNAcentral's name for it is "bacterial SSU rRNA". It matches the Rfam family "Bacterial small subunit ribosomal RNA", at positions 355 to 745 of the family's 1533-position model. The record is from RNAcentral.
UGGGGAAUAUUGCGCAAUGGGGGAAACCCUGACGCAGCGACGCCGUGUGAGGGAAGAAAGCUUUCGGGUCGUAAACCUCUGUCGGGAGGGAAGAACCUUCCAGGUCUGAACAAGGCUUGGAACUGACGGUACCUCCAAAGGAAGCACCGGCUAACUCCGUGCCAGCAGCCGCGGUAAUACGGAGGGUGCAAGCGUUAAUCGGAAUCACUGGGCGUAAAGCGCGCGUAGGCGGCUUUUUAAGUCGGACGUGAAAGCCCUCGGCUCAACCGGGGAACUGCGUUCGAAACUGGGAAGCUUGAGUCCUGGAGAGGGUGGCGGAAUUCCGGGUGUAGGAGUGAAAUCCGUAGAUAUCCGGAGGAACACCGGUGGCGAAGGCGGCCACCUGGACAGGUACUGACG